RNAcentral lists this ribosomal RNA (399 nucleotides) under uncultured bacterium. RNAcentral describes it as "bacterial SSU rRNA". It matches the Rfam family "Bacterial small subunit ribosomal RNA", at positions 29 to 430 of the family's 1533-position model. The record is from RNAcentral.
AACGAACGCUGGCGGCAUGCCUUACACAUGCAAGUCGAACGGCAGCGGGCCUUCGGGUGCCGGCGAGUGGCGAACGGGUGAGUAAUGCAUCGGAACGUGCCAUUGAGUGGGGGAUAACGUAGCGAAAGUUACGCUAAUACCGCAUAUUCUGUGAGCAGGAAAGCAGGGGACCGCAAGGCCUUGCGCUCUUUGAGCGGCCGAUGUCAGAUUAGCUAGUUGGUGAGGUAAAGGCUUACCAAGGCGACGAUCUGUAGCGGGUCUGAGAGGAUGAUCCGCCACACUGGAACUGAGACACGGUCCAGACUCCUACGGGAGGCAGCAGUGGGGAAUUUUGGACAAUGGGCGCAAGCCUGAUCCAGCCAUGCCGCGUGAGUGAAGAAGGCCUUCGGGUUGGUUAAA